UACGUAGGGGCUAGCGUUAUCCGGAAUUACUGGGCGUAAAGGGUGCGUAGGUGGUUUCUUAAGUCAGAGGUGAAAGGCUACGGCUCAACCGUAGUAAGCCUUUGAAACUGAGAAACUUGAGUGCAGGAGAGGAGAGUAGAAUUCCUAGUGUAGCGGUGAAAUGCGUAGAUAUUAGGAGGAAUACCAGUUGCGAAGGCGGCUCUCUGGACUGUAACUGACACUGAGGCACGAAAGCGUGGGGAGCAAACAGGAUUAGAUAUCCGGGUAGUCCCUGAG
This 276-nucleotide ribosomal RNA is filed under the name uncultured prokaryote. RNAcentral's name for it is "partial 16S ribosomal RNA". It matches the Rfam family "Bacterial small subunit ribosomal RNA", at positions 524 to 801 of the family's 1533-position model. The record is from RNAcentral.